AAAAACAUGUCUUUUUGAGAAUAAUUUAAAGUCUAAUCUGCCCACUGAUAAAUUUAUUAAAGGGCCGCAGUAAUUUGACUGUGCAAAGGUAGCAUAAUCACUUGUCUUUUAAUUGAAGGCUGGAAUGAAUGAUUGAAUGAAGUAUUAACUGUCUCAUUUUUAAAAAAUUAAAAAUUUAAUUUUUAAGUUAAAAGGCUUAAAUAAAUUUAAAAGACGAGAAGACCCUAUAGAUCUUUAUAAUAAUAAUUUUAUAAUAAAAUAGAUUAAAAUAUUUUAUAAAAUAUAUUAAUUAUUUAAUUGGGGUGAUUAAAAAAUUUAUUUAACUUUUUUUAGAAGAAAACAUUAAUUAAUGAAUAAUUGAUCCAAUAAUAUUGAUUAAAAGAUUAAGUUACCUUAGGGAUAACAGCGUAAUUUUUUUAGAGAGUUCUUAUCGAUAAAAAAGAUUGCGACCUCGAUGUUGAAUUAAAGGUUAUUUUUAGAUGUAGAAGUUUAAAGUUUAGGUCUGUUCGACCUUUGAAUCUUUACAUGAUCUGA
Molecule: ribosomal RNA, 534 nt
Filed under: Rapisma sp. SLW-2008
Lineage: Eukaryota; Metazoa; Arthropoda; Insecta; Neuroptera; Rapismatidae
Description: partial 16S ribosomal RNA
Rfam family: Bacterial large subunit ribosomal RNA
Source: RNAcentral